Molecule: unclassified non-coding RNA, 6295 nt
Filed under: Leishmania donovani
Lineage: Eukaryota; Euglenozoa; Kinetoplastea; Trypanosomatida; Trypanosomatidae
Description: gene:LdHU3.29.2990(CDS-product:hypothetical_prote in_conserved)
Source: RNAcentral
UCGUUUUUUUUUUUCGUUUCUGUUUCGUCGUCGUCGUCUGCUUCCUUUCUCGGUUGCCGUCUUCCAUUGCUGCAGUGGUGCCCUCACGAUGCACGCAUCGCCGAGGAGCGCACGGCGUGGUAGGUCACCGACAGGGGUGGUGGCGGCCACAGAGGGUGCGACGCAGCUACACACAGCGCGACUGCUGGGCCGUAGCAACGAGCUUCUGCAUGCAAGCCGGGCCUUCUCGGCGUGGGCGGCUGCCAUCCGACAACGCAGAUUGCAGACGCACUUGAAGCGGUGCUCCACGAUGCUGAAGCACAACUCCCUUCGUCAGGAGUACACUCGGUGUUUCAUGCGGUGGCUCGCCUUUACCCAAAUGCGAACCUCCGAGAAUGUGCGAUCGGCCAUUCGUGUGCGUCAAGACGUGCCGCUGCGGUCCAAGGCGGACUUCCUCGCCCUGGCACGUCGGUACUUCGCCAAGUGGCGCGCACAUGUGCGGGAGCGUAAGCAGCGCACCGUCACCAACGUAGAGCUGCUCGAGGCGCUCAACAAGGAACGACUGCGCAGCCGCACGCUACUCAGGUGGUGGCGCUUCCACAACAUGCAGACAAGGAAGCACCGCGCCGCCGAGAUUGCCGAGCUGGAAGAUGCAAAUCUGAAGCUGCAGCAGGAGUUACAGAAAGCCGUGCGUGAGACAAAGGGCUUACGUGAUCAGCUCCAUGCGGCUCUUCAGCAGCAGUCAGGGCUGCAGAAUGACCUGGAGGUCAGCCGCGGCGACAUCGGCGCCUCGGAGCAGCAGCGCCAAAGGGAGGUCAACGAACUGCGUGAGGCGAUGCAGCAAGCGGUGAGGCUCCUGGAGGGACCGUCGAGUCUGCGUUUGCGCUCGCUGCGCAAGUGGAGCAUCGUUGCAGCAAACCCCUGCAGUCCCUCAGGUGCCUCAAAACCACCGCCGCCACGGCCGCCGUCUUCCGAAACCCUGCUGAAGAGCGCCCGCCAGUCGAAGGACACUGCCGAGGCCCUGCUGCGCGCUGUGGGCGACACACUCGUAUCCCUUUCAUUGAUAGCCAAAAUGCCUACGCCGCCCGCAUCGUUCGAGGAGUGUGCUGCGCACCUGCACGAGCGACUCAGCGAAGAGAUGGAGGCCACCACCAUCAAGGCUCAGCGCGAUGAGCUCGCCUCGGCAGCGCAGACGGUGCGUAGCACUCUGGCAGCGGCAUCUUCGCUGCUGCAAGUGGUCUCCCCAGCCGAUUCCGACUGGGAGUCGAGCUGCGGGCCGUCGCUGACGACCUCGCGCGUGGGAGACGGGCCCAGCAAGCCGGGCCCGCAGUCUGCGCUUCGCAGCACGGGCGGCGGCCGGUGCUCCGGUGCAGCGGUUGUGACCUUUGCCCGAUCCUCGUCAGCGGCCCCGGUGGUGAGAAAGGCGACACCGCCAUCGAUUCGCCCUCCAGCCUCCCCGGCGGAUGCAACCUUCAUCGACUACCAGAAGCUGCCGCGGCUACUUGUAGAGGACGCCAAGGCUUUAGCCGGCGCCAUUCAGGCGAUGCACCAGGACGGCAAGCGAUCCGCGGACGAGGUGGCGAACUUGCAGGGUGCUGCGCUCCGCGCCCUCGACGCGUUCGGCGGCCGCGGUGCUACGAACACCAACUUUAUGGCGAAGCCGCAGGAGUCGGUUGAAGAGCGUGCCAGUCGAUCAGCCAACAUCGCCGACUCGCUGCGUGCCCUCUGCGAAAACAUGGACGCGGUACUGGUGCUGACAUCGCUGUGGUCCGGCAAAGGCGCGUCGGAGAAGGUUAGCGUGGCCCUGGAGCGGCUGUGGCACCGCACCCGAGACCUAGAAGCCGCACAUGCCGACGACCUGCAGCAUAUUGCGCAGUAUGCUGCGGUGGUGCACACCUCAGUCGCCAUUCUGCGACCCCCUCCUGCCACACCGCCGUCGACCAUGAGUCAGAGGACUGCAGCUCUGUUGGCGCGAAGGCAGCACAGGGCGCCGCAGGACGACGCCGUGGCUACGCCUGAGCAGGUCGAAGUAGCACGCCGUAGCGCCGGGCAGUUGGCGGCCAAGGGCGAUCGAAAGCCCACAGAGCUCAUAGAGCUGUGCUUGCAAGCGCAGCAACGAGCAGCGGCGGCGCAGUCGAGUGCGCCGACGAAUGAGUUUGACGGUCUGACGAAGAGUGCUCAAGAAAUCAUAGAAGUCGCCAUAGGCAAGAGCCGUUGUGGAGAAAAAGGAGUGCGGUUUUCUGCGGCACGCAGGAGCCGCCCUGACAGGUCUACGGUUGCACCGGAGACAUCCAACUCAGAAGCAGGAGGAGCAGAGGCGUCACGCAGCGGUUCCAUACACCCUUCAACCGCCGAGGCGGUGGCAAGAGCCUUGACGGCUGCGGCGGCGGUAGCCGCAGAGACGCUUAGGAGCUCUGAAGGGGUUGCCGAUAACUCUCUUGUCGACGCCAUUGUGCGGGCGCGAGCGCAGGUGCGCCAACUUCAAGAGCAACUGAAGGCCCUCGCUGUGUCGGAGCUGCAAAACGAAGAGGCGAAGAAGCGGCUGCAGGCAGAGCUGAAGGAGACGGCGACACGCACCAAAGCCAGCGAGAGAGCUCUAAAGAAGCAUGUCGACGACCUCGGCAAGGGCCGCAGCGUCGCCGAGAAGGAUCUGCAGAGGCAGCUAAGAGAACUGCAACGGGAGGCAGCGCAGAGCGCGCAAGACUGCAGGGAUCUCAAGAAGGAGCGAAACGAGCUGGAGGAGGACACCAAGGCGAAGGAUAUGGCACUGAAAUCACAGACUGAGGCGACGCGGAGGUUGUGCGAGGAGGUGAAGAGUCUGCGAAGGCAGCUGGCCGAAGCCGCGUCGGAAAACUCGUUGAGUGACGAAAGGAGAGAGGUGCUGCGUCGGCACGUCGACGACCUGCAGCGGCAGCGGGCGGAUUAUGAAGCUGCCGUCGCGGAGCUGGAGGCCCAGCUUCGCUCCGCGCACGACGCUAUCGAGACGGCCGCUGUUGCGCACCAUGAGUUGGCGAGGCAGCUAUCGACUGUUGAAGAGGCGAAUCGCAGAAACAAUGCCAUUGGUGUGUUCCUGCGCGAUGUACUGCGGGACUGCUUGACGCGUCUGCAUCACUUGACGCAUAAUGCGAGUGCUGCAGCAGCGCGGGAGCGGUCGCUGCAGAGGUCGCUCACACUUCAGCAAGUACCCGACAGACCGCCACCGACGCUAACCCGCGGCAGCGACCCGUCCGAGUACUUGGAGUACUUGUUGCAACUAGACAGCAACGACGCGAUGGGGAAACUGCUGGUACAGCAGCACCUGCGCGAGAACAUGGCGGUGCAAAGGUUGCGGGAACUCAGUGUGGAUGGAGGAGCAGCAGGCGCACCCCGUGCGGAGUCGGCAGCAACGUCUGUGGGUCACAGCGUCCGCUUCGACGGUGCCGAUCCAUCCACCUGGGAGGUUGUGGCGGAGCUGCACGAUCGCCUUGUCCUCCUGUACGACCUCAUUGCCCGUGUGAACGACAGCGCGGUGGAGCAGCGUGCGCGUAUCGACAGGCUCACAGUGGUGAAGGACCAGCCGACGGCAGGCGUGCUGGAGGCGCUUGUGGAACUGAAGCCAUGGUCGUCCGCUGCCGCGGCUGCUGCUCCCGAAGAACAUCAAUUGGCACCGAGCUCGUCCGAAGACGGCGCCGAAUCGUCGCCUCUCGACCGAGCCUUGCGGGCAUCCUGUGCUGAAGUGGCGCAGGCGCUGGAGGAGAUGGAAAAAAUGGCGGCUCUCACGCGACCGUUGGUGGAGAUGCGUUCUUCCGGAUCGCCGUUCUGUCGCGCAAAAGUUAAAGGGCCGCUCGAUAUGGCGAGCACUGACGCGGCUGCGACGAAGCGACUGCUGUCGCUGGUGGCAGAUGUGCAGGACAUGGCGAACUGCUUGCAGCAUCUGUCGGAGUCCGUCGUACACGGCAUCGUUGCCCUUGGUGGCACGCCCGAUGAAGGGGAAAUAAAUGUGUUGAACAGCAUGGAGCGCCGAGACAGCGCGAGCUUGCCCAUGGCCGCCGCAGCGACGAAGGGCACUGCAUUCAAGCGCCAUACGCAGGCUGGGGCACAGGCUGGGUGUGUAGACAGUCGCAUGCUCGCCACCCGUCUGGAGGCAAUAUGCGAGGAGACGGGCGCAUCAGUCCAGGAGCUGAAGCAGCUGCUGGGCGUCGGGGAUGGUGUCAGCGGCGCUUCCUGCGAAAGCUCGAUGAAGGGGGUCGGCAAGCCGCUGAAGCUGAGUGAUGUGCUGCCGCUCAUUGGCGCCAAGGUGCAGGAGUUGCAAGAGGUGAAGCAGGAGUCGGAGCGGAUACUGAUCGGACUGAACCACGCCUUCAGCGAUGACGACUCGCUCUCCACUACGUCCUCAACCCAGCGCUCGCUGAAGCGGAAGCGAAAGCCGUUACCUGCCCUUCAGUGCACCCCGGAGAAGGGCCUACGUCUCAUGCAGCAAGAAAUGAAGGGUCGCAAGAAGACGACGUCGCGGCGCCCUGGUGGCUGCGCCAGUGUGCUACAGGACACCAUGACCACAGUGCGGGAGCGCAUCGGCGACUUGCAAAACCUUCGUUUUACGUGUUGCGCAAUCCUGCAAGUUCUGGAGGGCCGCCUUGUCAAGGGCGACGAGGCAGAGAAGCCGCCCAAGUACGGGGAGGCGCUGAUGGCUUUGCUGACUACACAGAUCGUGGAUCUCAAGCAGGUGCUGCCAGAGACGGAGGAGGCCCUCGCGGGCUACCGCAGCACUCUGCUCAACGUCACCGUCGGCACGCGGCUGCAUAUGCUGUGCGGCGUGGUUCGCUCUCUGAAGCUGGAGCGAGACUCGCUGAAAGAGGACCUGGCGCGCCGCAGUCUACAGAGCAAUAUGCUGCUGAGCGAUUUCAGCGAGGAAGCGAAGGCGCUUCGUGCGAUGAUUGCUCGUCGCGAAGAAGAGCAGGUGCGCCUCGCGAGCGAAAUGGCCAGCGUGUCUGGCGAGACCGAUGCUCAGAAGCGUAACGUGGCGCAGCUGACGGCGAAGCUGGCAUCGCUUGAGCAUGAGCGUAACGUGCUGUGCGGCGCGCUCGUACACACCCUGCGCAGCUUGCCCGGUACGCCAUACCGGCGCGUUCCUCUCGCUGGGAUGCAGAGGAACCUGCUCGCUGCCUUGAAAGAGCGGGGAGAGCUGCUGACGGCGUAUGUGGAGGCAGCUCUUCAGCGUGCCAACGCACAUCAGCAGCACUUGCAAGACAUCCUUCAUAGCUCCCUCGGCGAACUGCGCUGCGACAUGGCAUCACUGCGCGCGCAGGUGACGAACAGCUGGGACCUCUACGGCCGACAUAUGGCCAGCGGAGCGGUGCAGCAGCUUGUGGAGACGACGGAGGUGUUGACGCUGGAAAACAGCAUGUUGCGUCCACGCGCAAUCGAGCGGGAGCAGCUGAAGCUCGAGAAGGCGGAGUUGGAGGCCGCGCUGGUGGAUGCGAAAGCGGCUCGCGUGGAUGUAUUGGCUCGUCUGGAGCACGCCGAGGAUGAGAACACGCAGCUGCGGAGAGCACUGCGGGACGCUCAGAUAGCGCAGGCGCUCACCAACCGCGAUGACGACGACCAGGUCGACGAUAGAAGAAACCGAAGUGGUGGAAAGGUGCUAAGUACGCAUUCGGUGGACUGGGAGCGGCGCAUGAUCAACGGUGCCACAGCACUGACGAUGGACAUGGUCGACUCGAUGAGUGGCACGUCCAUGUCAUCUGUCUUCGGCUCCGUUGUGGAGGAGACGCUGCGCAUUUACGCAGGCGUGCAGCACGGUUUGCGAGAAAUGGCGGCAGCCUGCGAGGGGGCGCGCGGCAAGGACGAACGCCACGUGCGAAUCGCGGUUGAGGAGCAACUUCAGGAGUUGCGAGAGCUGGCCGAAUCCGCUGACUACCUGAGGUCGCGUCUACCAGUGCUGUUCCGUGUGCCGUAUCAGUGAGGAGAACCCAAGAGAGAAAGCGCAAAGUGGACAACGACGGGGCAGGAGAGCCCAUCUCGGGCGAUGCAUGAAGUCCGCCUGCGCGCCGUGCGCGUGCCGGACCGUGAUUCGAGAAAAAAAAAACGGACAUGCACUCCGUAAUGUAGCGCGUGCCGUGUCGCCUGCGUCUCUGUGCUGUACGUGUGGCUUUUGUUGGUUUCGCCGGUGGUUGCGGCACUGCACUGCACUGCGCUCUGUGUGCGCAUUUUCAGCUCUUCUUCUGCCUCCGUUUCCAUGCCUACGUCGAACAAAAGGGAGGACGCCGUUGUCGCACGCCGCUCCCCUCUAUCCAUCCAUCGACCUGCUCAACUGCGGCGCGCUAGCACGAAGCAAAAG